UUUGCUGGUCAUUAUGUUUCCUGGUCCGAUGUGAGGAGGUUGCUGAUUUUGGAGCUGUUCUUGUUAUACCUGUGUGCCUGUCUGCCAAACAACCUACAAAGUCCAAGCUGCACUUUUUCUUACAUUCCUGGCCUAUCUACAUCCUGCAAGGCAUCAGUGAAGCAGGUGUUGGGGCACCUAACAAUUUCAUUGCCAUCAGAAUUAAUUGACACGUGCUUUGUGAAUAUUGAUUACAGAAUACCAAUGUAUCUGCUCAGGAACUGCACCGACUAUGAAAAUGACCAUUUACAUGUGAUGCUUAGAAAAAGCUAUAACAUACACCAGUAUUUUGAACUUGCAAUACAGGGAAUAUUCUGUAUGUUUACUUUACUAUGUUAACUCCCCCAUAUUAUGGUUUGUGCAAAGGAGAACUUAAAAAAAAAUUGUCAUAUUUCUGUCACACACAUUUACAUAUUAUAUCUGAAUAUUUGGUACUAGGCCCAAGGCCGUAGAAAAGAUUCCUGGGCCCCAGCAAUGAAAGGAGGCGUGGCCUGGCCAUGGAAACAAUGUACUUUUUAUGCACCACUAAGCGGUGCCAACCUGUGGUAGGGGGAGCUGGGGAGGGGUGCUUUCAGCCAGGAUCAGCUCCAGGGAGGGGGCACAGUCAGUGCAAUUGCCUACUCCCUCUUCCAGACAGAGGAUACUGCUGCUCCCAGGACCUACUAGGCUGAAGAGCAGGCUGUGGCUGCUAACUGACAUGUAAGGGAGGGGGGGGGGGGGGUGCACUUAUCAGGGCACCCACCUGGCCUCUCAAAGAAGCCUGGGUAAUUAGAACCCACCCUCCCCCUCUCUGUGCCACUGUCUAGGCCUUCUGCAUGAUUUUAGUAAAACCAAAAGGGCUUUGCAACACUCAGUUUUCUCUUGCAAGUACAAUAUAGUAUCUUAUACAACCUUUGACAUCUAUUAAUUUCGUAUUUUAUGUUAGAUGAUUUUAAAAGUAAUUUCUAAAGUGCUCCACUGCUUGUACACUUAUAAACACAUAAUGUAUGCACUAAAAGGUCGCUCUCUUAGUACCAAGUUCCAAAAGAGUGUGAAAAAAGCAGGAUCCAGGAUUCCAAGGGUUCCUAUCCACUCAGGCUGCAGUGUGAUGCUGUUUGCCAUUGUGGGGUUCAUUGUUAUGCUUUUAAUCUGCAACCUUUUGUAAGUGCAGUCUGUGAAUUAAAUUUCCUUGUAUAUAAGGAUAA
Pseudophryne corroboree (corroboree frog) is the source of this 1223-nucleotide long non-coding RNA. RefSeq lists it as uncharacterized. The record is from RefSeq and is a predicted model, not a curated record. NCBI's taxonomy places the organism in Eukaryota, Metazoa, Chordata, Amphibia, Anura, Myobatrachidae. The transcript has 2 exons.